GCAUAUCAAUAAGCGGAGGAAAAGAAACUAACAAGGAUUCCCCUAGUAACUGCGAGUGAAGCGGGAAAAGCUCAAAUUUAAAAUCCUGAGGGUCUUUAUGGCNUUCCGAGUUGUAAUCUAGAGAAG
This 126-nucleotide ribosomal RNA is filed under the name Tricholoma matsutake. RNAcentral's name for it is "partial 28S ribosomal RNA". It matches the Rfam family "Eukaryotic large subunit ribosomal RNA", at positions 38 to 158 of the family's 3401-position model. The record is from RNAcentral. Lineage: Eukaryota; Fungi; Basidiomycota; Agaricomycetes; Agaricales; Tricholomataceae.